GAAGUGGAUUAGCGGCGGACGGGUGAGUAACACGUGGGUAACCUGCCUUAUAGAGGGGAAUAGCCUUUCGAAAGAGAGAUUAAUACCGCAUAAGAUUGUAGCUUCGCAUGGAGCAGCAAUUAAAGGAGCAAUCCGCUAUAAGAUGGACCCGCGGCGCAUUAGCUAGUUGGUGAGGUACCGGCUCACCAAGGCCACGAUGCGUAGCCGACCUGAGAGGGUGACCGGCCACAUUGGGACUGAGACACGGCCCAGACUCCUACGGGAGGCAGCAGUGGGGA
RNAcentral lists this ribosomal RNA (278 nucleotides) under uncultured bacterium. RNAcentral describes it as "partial 16S ribosomal RNA". It matches the Rfam family "Bacterial small subunit ribosomal RNA", at positions 84 to 360 of the family's 1533-position model. The record is from RNAcentral.